UACGUAGGGGGCAAGCGUUGUCCGGAAUCAUUGGGCGUAAAGAGCGCGUAGGCGGCCCUGUAAGUCCGCUGUGAAAGUCAAGGGCUCAACCCUUGAAUGCCGGUGGAUACUGCAGGGCUAGAGUCCGGAAGAGGAGAGUGGAAUUCCUGGUGUAGCGGUGAAAUGCGCAGAUAUCAGGAGGAACACCUGUGGCGAAAGCGGCUCACUGGACCAUAACUGACGCUGAUGCACGAAAGCUAGGGGAGCAAACAGG
RNAcentral lists this ribosomal RNA (253 nucleotides) under uncultured bacterium. RNAcentral describes it as "partial 16S ribosomal RNA". It matches the Rfam family "Bacterial small subunit ribosomal RNA", at positions 524 to 776 of the family's 1533-position model. The record is from RNAcentral.